CACGCUCUUCUUGGCCUUCUUCUUCUUCUUGUCGGCGCCGCCGUCCUUGCCGGGCACGCGCUUCUCGGCCUUGGGCUUCUUCUCCGCCUCCACAGGCUUCUUCUCCGCCGCGGGCUUCUUCUCGGCCUUGGGCGCCAUGGCUGUUUCGGCGGGGAGCAGGAGGCGAGAGAUGGGUUUGGGGGGAGGACUGUGGGCUUGUUGUGGUUGGGGUUUGAGGCGUGUGUUUCGGUGGACGGGGCGCUGGGAAUAUAUAGGGAUGCGCGGAGGGGCGUGACUGGUGGAGACGGUUAGGGUCAGGAUCGGUGACGUGGCUGAGUCCGGGGUCGUUGGAUUUGAUGGACGGACGGAUUUGGACGCGGUGACGGGGUGGAUCCGCGCGGGGAGGCGUGACCUCGCUGUUGGGCGGUGGGUUUAGGCGGCCAGUAGAAAUUUGGGAAGCGAAGCGCGAGCGGGAAGGUCUGUUUUGGGCGCUCCGUGAUGGAUUGGAGUGAGUGCGACCAUGUCAUAAUUUGGAUUUGCUCGGGAUUAUUUUAGGGUAUAUAUAUAUGUUUGAUGCGUAAGAGCAAUGAUAAGAUAGAGUCAGUAGGAUGUGAGGAUUAAAAUAAUAUAUUUUUUGUUGAGUUGGAUGAGCGAGAAGAGGAGAUGGAAUGAAAGCGGACUCUUCGUGAAGAGCUAGCUAUAUCACAUGCUCCUACGUGUUUUGUGAGAAUGAAAUGGGCCAUAUAUGAUAAAAAUAGUAUCUUUUUAUAGCUAACUAUUUUACAAGCUAGAUAUAAGAUAGCUUAUGACCAGCAGUUGGCUAUACUAUUAACCAUGCUCUAAGCAUAUAAAGCGGGACCCCUUAAAUGUUCGAUCAUGUCAUCGGUCACAAAAAAUUGACCUAGACACGUCUCUCAAACCGGCAUCAAACGUCUGGGCUGACCGACAUCCCAUUUCUAGCCCAAAUACGAGGGGAUAUGGGGGACCUCGGGCGUGUCCGGGCACGCCGUCACGUCGACCUGACAGCUUGGCCCCACGCGGAGUCACCGGAAAUCCCGACGGUCCGACGGGAGCCUCGACCGUCCGCACGGUGUGAAUAUCGUGUGGCGCCACUCCGGCUCCCCACCAGAAGUCACGGUCGGCUAUUUAAUCCGGCCGACACACCUAACCCUAGCUCAUCCGCCUCCUGCUUCUCUCCGCCUCCUGCUUCUCUCCGCCGCCGCCCGAGCCCGUCCGCCUCCUCUCGCAGUUCCUUCUCCGUCAGGAUGGUCCGACGGCUCAUCACCAUAUACGUGCACCUCACUCCGGAGCGGCACCUUCAAAUCGAGGCGGAGAUUCAGGCUCACCGCGCCACCCGCAUCGCCGCACCUCCCUCCGGACUCGCUGAAGACGAAGAAGGAGGAGGACGAGCAGCAACAACAACAUGAGGAAGAGGAGGAGGAGGCUUCCUGUUUGAGCAUGGCGGAGACGGACGCGAAGUUCGCCGUCGCCUAGUCGGAGGAGAUGGCGGAGCACCACGCCAUCCUCGAUUCCACCCGGGAUGGGGACGAGGUAUAGGCCAAUCGUCGGCUCAUCCGGGAGAGGCACGCGGAGGCCGACGCCCUCUUCGAUGAGAUGGAUGCGGAGAUUGAGGCGGAAGAGGCUGUAGCGGAGCAGCCGGAUGCGUCGGAGGGGGCGGAGCUGCGGCAAGCGGCCAUUUACAUUGGAAUGAAUCUAACACCCAUACAGUUCUGGUGUUGAUCAUGCUUCGCUCGUGGAAGAGGUUUAGUCAGUGGGUGUGCAACAUUCAGAUCCGCAUGCACUUUGCAAAUAUUUGCGUCCUCUCCUUCGACGUAGUCGUGAAUGAGGUUGAAGCAUCGUUUGAUGUGUCUGGUCUUCUUGUGAAACCUUGGUUCCUUUGCUAGAGCAAUGGCACCAGUGUUGUCACAGAACAGAGUUAUUGGAUUUAGUGCACUCGGCACAACUCCAAGAUUCUACUCCGCUUCACAUGUAGAAUCUGCUACGACGCUUUGCUUGGAACUGCAUCAGCUUACCGCACCCCCAUUAAGAAUAAAUACGUAUCCGAUUUGAGACUUAGAGUCAUCCGGAUCAGUGUCAAAGCUUGUAUCGACGUAACCCUUUACGACGAGCUCUUCAUCACCUCCAUAAACGAGAAACAUUUCCUUAGUCCUUUUCAGGUACUUCAGAAUAUUCUUGACCGCCGUCCAGUGAUCCACUCCUGGAUUAAUUUGAAACCUUCCUGACAUACUUAUGGCCAGGCUGACGUCCGGUCUUGUGCACAGCAUUGCAUACACGAUAGACCCUGUGGCUAAAGCAUAGGGGACGGUACUCAUCUUUUCUCUAUCUUCCGCGGUUACUAGACAGUGAGUCUUACUCAACUUUAUACCUUGUAACACUGGCAAGAACCCCUUCUUGGACUGCUUCAUUUUGAACUUCUUCAAAACUUUAUCAAGGUAUGUGCUUUGUGAAAGUCCUAUUAGGCGCCUCGAUCUAUCCCUAUAGAUCUUAAUGCCUAAUAUGUAAGCAACUUUUCCUAGGUAUUUCAUUGAAAAACAUUUGUUCAAGUAAUCCUUUACGCUCUCUAAAAACUCCACAUUGUUUCCAAUCAAGAAUAUGUCAUCCACAUAUAAUAUUAGAAACGCUACAGAUCUCCCACUCACUUUCUUGUAAAUACAAAAUUCUCCAACAACUUGUAUAAACCCAAAUGCUUUGAUCACCUCAUCAAAGUGUUUUUUCCAAUUCCGAGAUGCUUGCACGAGUCCGUAAAUGGAUCGCUGGAGCUUGCAUACUUUGUUAGCAUUCUUCGGAUCGACAAAACAUUCGGGUUGCAUCAUACACAACUUUUUCUUAAGAAAAACAUUAAGGAACGCCAUUUUGACAUCCAUCUGCGAGAUUUCAUGAUCGAAAAGUGUAGCUAUUGCUAACAUGAUUCGAACGGACUUAAGCAUCGCUACGGGUGAGAACGUCUCAUCGUAGUCAACUCCUUGAACUUGUGAAAAACCCUUUGCCACAAGUCGAGCUUUAUAAACGGUCGCAUUACCGUCUACGUUCGUCUUCUUCUUAAAGAUCCAUCUGUUCUGAAUAGCCUUGCGACCUUCAGGCAAUACUUCCAAAGUCCACACUUUGUUUUCAUACAUAGAUCCUAUCUCUGACUUCAUGGCCUCUAACCAUUUGUUGGAAUCCGGGCCCACCAUUGCUUGUUCAUAUUUCGCAUGUUCAUCGUUGUCUAACAACAUGAUAGAUAAGACAGGAUUCCCGUACCACUCAGGAGCAGUACGUGAUCUUGUCGACCUGCGAGGUCCGACAGCAAAUUGAUCCGAAGCUUCAUGAUCAUCAUUAUUAGCUUACUCCUCAAUCGGUGUUGCCUCGACAUAGAUUUCUCUCUGCCCCGCGCCACCAUCGAGAGGGAGCAGAGGUUCCACAACCUCAUCAAGUUCUAUCUUCCUCCCACUCAAUUCUUUCGAUAGAAACUCCUUCUCAAGAAAAGCUUCGUUCUUAACAACAAACACUUUGCCCUUGGGUAUGAGAUAGAAGGUGUACCCAACUGUCUCUUUUGGGUAACCUAUGAAGACGCAUUUUUCCGCUUUCGGUUUCAGCUUUCCAGGCUGAAGCUUUUUGACAUGAGCAUCGCAUCCUCAAACUUUAAGAAACGACAACCUUGGCCUCUUGCCAUGCCAUAGCUCAUAUGGUGUCGUCUCAACGGAUUUUGAUGGGUGCCCUAUUUAAAGUGAAUGCAGGUGUCUCUAAUGCAUAACCACAAAAAAGAUAACGACAAAUCAGUAAGAAACAUCAUAGAUCGCACCAUAUCUAACAAAGUACGACUACGACGUUCGGACACACCAUUACGCUAUGGUGUUCCAGGCGGUGUCAACUGUGAAACGAUUCCACAUUGUCUUAAGUGAGCACCAAACUCGAAACUCAGAUAUUCACCCCCUCGUUCAGAUCGUAUGAACUUGAUCUUCUUGUUACGAUGAUUUUCAACUUCACUCUGAAAUUGCUUGAACUUUUCAAACGUUUCAGACUUGUGUUUCAUCAAGUAGAUAUAUCCACACCUACUCAAAUCAUCAGUGAAGGUGAGAAAAUAACGAUAUCCGUCGCGUGCCUCCACACCCAUUGGACCGCAUACAUCAGUAUGCAUGAUCUCCAACAAGUCAGUUGCACACUCCAUUGUUCUGGAGAACGGAGUCUUAGUCAUCUUGCCCAUGAGGCAUGGUUCGCACGUGUGAAGUGAUUCGAAAUCAAGUGACUCCAAAAGCCCAUCAGCAUGGAGUUUCUUCAUGCGCUUUACACCAAUAUGACCUAAGCGGCAGUGCCGCAAAAAGGUGGCGCUAUCAUUGUUAACUCUACAUAUUUUGGUCUCAAUGUUAUGUAUAUGUGUGUCAUCACAAUCAAGAUUCAAUAUGAACAAACCCCUCACAUUGGGUGCAUGACCAUAAAAGAUAUUACUCAUAAAAAUAGAACAACCAUUAUUCUGUGACUUAAAUGAGUAACCGUCUCACAAUAAACAAGAUCCACAUAUAAUGUUCAUGCUUAACGCAUGCACUAAAUAACAAUUAUUUAAGUUCAUAACUAAUCCUGAUGGUAACUGAAGUGAGACUUUGCCGAUGGCAAUUGCAUGAACCUUGGAACCAUUUCCCACGCGCAUCGUCACUUCAUCCUUCGCAAGCCUUCGUUUAUUCCGCAGUUCCUACUUCGAGUUGCAAAUAUGAGCAACAGAACCGGUAUCAAAUACCCAGGCACUACUAUGAGAGUUGGUUAGGUACACAUCAAUAACAUGUAUAUCACAUAUACCUGGUUUGGCGUUGGCCGCCUUCUUGAUACGUCCAUUUUGCAUCAUGCUUUCAUGUUGUUAUUUAUUGCUUUAUGGGUUGUUAUUACACUUCAUGGUACAAUACUUAUGCCUUUUCUCUCUUAAUUUGCAAGGUUUACAUGAAGAGGUAGAAUGCCGGCAACUGGAAUUCUGGCCUGAAAAAGGAGCAAGUUUGAGAUACCUAUUAUGCGCAACUCCAAAAGCCGUGAAAAUCAACGAGGAUUUAUUUUGGAAUUUAUAAAAAAUACUGGGCUGAAGAAGUACCAGAGGGGAGCCAGCAGGAGGCCACAAGCCUGCUAGGCGCGACCUCCCCCCUCGCCGUGCCUAGGGGGCUUGUGAGCUUCCUGUUGGACCAGUGGCCCCCCUCCUUUGCUAUAAGGAGGGUUUCGUUCUGGAAAAAAAAUCAAAAGGAGGCUUUCGGGAGGAAUCGCCGCCGCCACGAGGCGGAACUUGAGCAGUACCAAUCUAGAGCUCCGACAGGGUCGUCCUGCCGGGGAAACUUCCCUCCCGGAGGGGGUAAUCGUCGCCAUCGUCAUCACCAACACUCCUCUCAUCGAACGGGAAUCAUCACCACCAACGUCUUCAUCAGCACCAUCUCAUCUCCAAACCCUAGUUCAUCUCUUGUAANNNNNNNNNNACGACUCCGAUUGGUACUUGUAAGGUUGCUAGUACUGUUAAUUACUCUUUGUAGCUGAUGCUAGUUAGAUUACUUGGUGGAAGAUUAUAUGUUCAGAUCCUUGAUGCUACCCAUUACCACUCUGGUCAUGAACAUGAUUAUGCUUUGUGAGUAGUCACUUUUGUUCCUGAGGACAUGGGAUAAGUCAUGCUAUAAGUAGUCAUGUGAAUUUGGUAUUCGUUCGAUAUUUUGAUGCGUUGUAUGUUGUUUUUCCGCUAGUGGUGUUAUGUGAACGUCUACUACAUAACACUUAACCAUUAUUUGUGCCUAGAGGAAGUCAUUGGGAAGUAGUAAGUAGAUGAUGGGUUGCUAGAGUGACAGAAGCUUAAACCCUAGUUUAUGUGUUGAUUCGUAAGGGGCUGAUUUGGAUCCACUAGUUCAAUGCUAUGGUUAGACUUUGUCUUAAUUCUUCUUUCGUAGUUGUGCAUGCUUGCGAGAGGGGUUAAUCAUAAGUGGGAUCCUUGUCCAAGUAAGGGCAGUACCCAAGCACCGGUCUACCCACAUAUCAAACUAUCAAAGUACCGAAUGCGAAUCAUAUGAACAUGAUGAAAACUAGCUUGACAGAAUCUCCCAUGUGUCCUCGGGAGCGCUUUAGCUCCUCUAAGAGUUUGCCCAGGCUUGUCCCUUGCUACAAAAGGGAUUGGGCCACUUUGUUGCACCGUUGUUACUAUUGUUACUUGCUACGAAUUAUCUUGUCACGCAACUACUUGUUACUGAUAAUUUCAGUACUUGUAGAGAUUACCUUGCUGAAAACCACUUGUCAGAUCCUUCUGCUCCUUGUUGGGUUCGACACUCUUACUUAUCGAAAGGACUACGAUAGAUCCCCUAUACUUGUGGGUCAUCAAGACUCUUUUCUGGCGCCGUUGCUGGGGAGUGAAGCGCCUUUGGUAAGUGGAAUUUGGUAAGGAAACAUUUAUAUAGUGUGCUGAAAUUUAUUGUCACUUGUCACUAUGGAAACUAAUCCUUUGAGGAGCUUGUUCGGGGUAUAUUCACCUCGAACGGAAGCACAAGGAGUUUCUCCUCAACCUUCUGCACCUACUGAAAAUAUUUGCUAUGAAUUUCCUUCGGGGAUGCUUGAGAAAAUGCUGGCUAAUCCUUUUACAGGAGACGGAACAUCACAUCCCGACUUGCAUCUAAUCUAUGUAGAUGAAGUUUGUGGUUUAUUUAAGCUUGCAGGUUUGCCCGAGGAUGAGGUCAAGAAGAAGGUCUUUCCUUUAUCUUUGCAGGAUAAGGCAUUGACAUGGUAUAGGCUAUGUGAUGAUACUGGAUCAUGGAACUACAAUCGGUUGAAGUUGGAAUUUCAUCAAAAGUUUUAUCCUAUGCAUUUAGUACAUCGUGAUCGGAAUUAUAUUAAUAAUUAUUGGCCUCGUGACAGAGAAAGCAUCGCUCAAGCUUAGGGGAGGCUUAAAUCAAUGCUAUAUUCAUGCCCCAAUCAUGAGCUCUCGAGAGAAAUUAUCAUUCAGAACUUCUAUGCUCGGCUUUCUCAUGAUGAUCGCACCAUGCUUGACAUUUCUUGUACCGGUUCUUUUAUGAAGAGGGAUAUUGACUUCAAAUGGAAUUUAUCGGAGAGAAUUAAAUGCAACUCUGAAGAUUGGGAGCUUGAAGAAGGUAAGGAGUGAGGUAUGAAUUUCAAGUUUGAUUGCGUUAAAUCCUUUGUUGAAACAAAUACUUUUUAUGAUUUUAGCGCUAAGUAUGGACUUGACUCUGAGAUAGUAGCUUCAUUUUGUGAAUCAUUUGCUGCUCAUAUUUAUCUCCCCAAAGAGAAGUGGUUUAAAUAUCAUCCUCCUGUAGAAGUCAAUGUAGUUAAACCCAAUCGAGUUGAAGAGAAAGUCAUAGCCUAUAAUGAUUCCGUUGUUCCCAGUGCUUACAUUGAGAAACCACCUUUCCCUGUUAGGAUAAAGGAUCAUUCUAAAGCUUCAACUGUGAUACGUAGAGGCUACAUUAGAACACAUACACCCCCUGAGCAAAUUAGAGUUGAACCUAGGAUUGCUAUUAUCAAAGAUCUCAUGUCCGACAAUAUUGAUGGCCAUGAUAUUCACUUUUGUGAAGAUGCUGCUAGAAUUGCUAAACCCCAUGCUAGAGACAAACAUAGGCCUGUUGUUGGCACGCCUGUUGUUUCUGUUAAGAUAGGAGAUCAUUGUUAUCAUGGUUUAUGUGACGUGGGUGCUAGUGUUAGUGCAAUACCUUAAUCUUUAUAGGAUGAAAUUAAAGACGAGAUUGCACCUGUCGAGAUGGAACCUAUUGAUGUCACUAUUGAGCUUGCCAAUAGAGAUACUAUCUGCCCUUUGGGAAUUGUUAGAGAUGUUGAAGUCUUGUGUGGUAAAACUAAGUAUCCUGCUGAUUUUCUCGUUCUUGCUACCCCACGAGAUAGUUUUUGUCCCAUCAUAUUUGGCAGACCUUUCCUCAAUACUGUCAAUGCUCAUAUUGACUGUGAGAAGCAAACUGUCACUGUUGGCUUUGAAGGAGUGUCACAUGAGUUCAAUUUCUCCAAGUUUGGUAGACAACCUCAUGAANNNNNNNNNNNNNNNNNNNNNNNNNNNNNNNNNNNNNNNNNNNNNNNNNNNNNNNNNNNNNNNNNNNNNNNNNNNNNNNNNNNNNNNNNNNNNNNNNNNNUUAGUAAGUAGAUGAUGGGUUGCUAGAGUGACAAAAGCUUAAACCCAAGUUUAUGUUUUGCUUCGUAAGGGGCUGAUUUGGAUCCACUAGUUUAAUGAUAUGGUUAGACUUUGUCUUAAUUCUUCUUUCGUACUUGCGGAUGCUUGUGAGAGGGGUUAAUCAUAAGUGGGAUGCUUGUCCAAGUAAGGGCAGUACCCAAGCGUCGGUCCACCCACAUAUCAAACUAUCAAAGUAACGAACGCGAAUCAUAUGAACACGAUGAAAACUAGCAUGACAGAAAUUCACGUGUGUCCUCGGUAGCGUUUUUCCUCCUAUAAGACUUUGUCCAGGCUUGUCCCUUGCUACAAAAGGGAUUGGGCCACUUUGCUNNNNNNNNNNGUUGCUACUUUUUUUACUUGUUGCUUUCUACGAAUCAUCUCACCACACAAUCACUUGUUACCGAUAAUUUCAGUGCUUGCAUAUUUUACCUUGCUGAAAACCACUUGUCAGAUCCUUCUGCUCCUCGUUAGGUUCGACACUCUUACUUAUCAAAAGGACUACGAUUGAUCCCCUAUACUUGUGGGUCAUCAAGACUCUUUUUUGGCGCCGUUGCCGGGGAGUGAAGCGCCUUUGGUAAGUGGAACUUGGUAAGGAAACAUUCAUAUAGUGUGCUGAAAUUUAUUGUCACUUGUCACUAUGGAAACUAAUCCUUUGAGGGGCUUGUUCGGGGUAUCUUCACCUCGAACGAAAGUACAAAUAGUUGCUCCUCAACCUGCUGCACCUACUGAAAAUAUUUGCUUUGAAUUUCCUUCGAGUAUGCUUGAGAAACUGCUGGCUAAUCCUUUUAUAGGAGAUAGAACAUCACAUCCAGACUUGCAUCUAAUCUAUGUAGAUGAAGUUUGUGGUUUAUUUAAGCUUNNNNNNNNNNNNNNNNNNNNNNNNNNNNNNNNNNNNNNNNNNNNNNNNNNNNNNNNNNNNNNNNNNNNNNNNNNNNNNNNNNNNNNNNNNNNNNNNNNNNGGUGAAUAUCUGAGUUUCGAGUUUGGUGCUCACUUAAGACAAUGUGGAGUUGUUUCACAGUUGACACCGCCCGGAACACCACAGCGUAAUGGUGUGUCCGAACGUCGCAAUCGUACUUUAUUAGAGAUGGUGCGAUCUAUGAUGUCUCUUACCGAUUUGCCGUUAUCGUUUUGGGGUUAUGCAUUAGAAACAGCUGCAUUCACUUUAAAUAGGGCACCAUCAAAAUCCGUUGAGACGACACCAUACGAACUGUGGUAUGGCAAAAGGCCAAAGUUGUCGUUUCUUAAAGUUUGGGGAUGUGAUGCUUAUGUCAAAAAGCUUCAGCCUGAAAAGCUGGAACCCAAAGCGGAAAAGUGCGCUUUAUAGGUUACCCAAAGGAGACAGUUGGGUACACCUUCUAUCUCAAAUCCGAGGGCAAAGUGUUUGUUUCUAAAAACGGAGCUUUUCUCGAGAAGGAGUUUCUCUCGCGAGAAUUGAGUGGGAGGAAGAUAGAACUUGACGAGGUUAUCGAACCUCUCAUCCCUCUGGAUGGUGGCACAGGGCAAGGGGAAACCUCUGUCAUUGCAACGCCGGUUGAGGAGGAAGUUAAUGAUGAUGAUCAUGAAACUCCGGUUCAAGUUUCUGUCAAACCACGCAGGUCGACGAGACCACGUGCUGCUCCAGAGUGGUACGGUAAUCCCAUCUUGUCAAUCAUGUUGUUGGACAACAAUGAACCUGCAAAUUAUGAAGAAGCAAUGGUGGGCCCAAAUUCCAACAAAUGGCUAGAAGCCAUGAAGUCCGAGAUAGGAUCCAUGUAUGAGAACAAAGUGUGGACUUUGGAGGUACUGCCUGGGGGCCGCAAGGCUAUUCAGAACAAAUGGAUCUUUAAGAGGAAGACGGACGCUGACGGCAAUGUGACCGUUUAUAAAGCACGACUUGUGGCAAAGGGUUUUUCACAAGUUCAAGGAGUUGACUACGAUNNNNNNNNNNAUUCUCACCCGUAGCGAUGCUUAAGUCCGUCAGAAUCAUGUUAGCAAUAGCUGCAUUUUUCGAUUAUGAAAUCUGGCAGAUGGAUGUCAAAACGGCGUUCCUUAACGGUUUCCUUGAGGAAUAGUUGUAUAUGAUGCAACCCGAAGGUUUUGUGGAUCCUAAGAAUGCUAACAAAGUGUGCAAGCUCCAGCGAUCCAUUUAUGGACUGGUGCAAGCAUCUCGGAGUUGGAACAAACGCUUUGAUGAGGUGAUCAAAGCAUUUGGGUUUAUACAAGUGGUUGGAGAAUCUUGUAUUUACAAGAAAGUGAGUGGGAGCUCUGUGUUGUUUCUAAUAUUAUAUGUGGAUGACAUAUUGCUGAUUGGAAACAACGUNNNNNNNNNNNNNNNNNNNNNNNNNNNNNNNNNNNNNNNNNNNNNNNNNNNNNNNNNNNNNNNNNNNNNNNNNNNNNNNNNNNNNNNNNNNNNNNNNNNNNNNNNNNNNNNNNNNNNNNNNNNNNNNNNNNNNNNNNNNNNNNNNNNNNNNNNNNNNNNNNNNNNNNNNGACCUAGGAGAAGCUGCUUACAUUCUAGGCAUUAAGAUCUACAGGGAUAGAUCAAAACGCCUCAUAGGACUUUCACAAAGCACAUACCUUGAUAAAGUUUUGAAGAGGUUCAAAAUGGAACAAUCCAAGAAAGGGUUCUUGCCAGUUUUACAAGGUACGAGAUUGAGUAAGACUCAGUGCCCAUCAACUGAUGAGGAUAUAGAGCAUAUGAGCACCGUCCCCUAUGCUUCAGCCAUAGGUACUAUCAUGUAUGCAAUGUUGUGCACUAGACCGGACGUUAGCCUGGCCAUAAGUAUGGCAGGUAGGUUCCAGAGUAAUCCAGGAGUGGAUCAUUGGACGGCGGUCAAGAAUAUCCUGAAGUACCUGAAAAGGACUAAGGAGAUGUUUNNNNNNNNNNNNNNNNNNNNNNNNNNNNNNNNNNNNNNNNNNNNNNNNNNNNNNNNNNNNNNNNNNNNNNNNNNNNNNNNNNNNNNNNNNNNNNNNNNNNGUGUAUGUUGUUUUUCCUCUACUGGUGUUAUGUGAACGUCGACUACAUAACACUUCACCAUUAUUUGGGCCUAGAGGAAGGCAUUGGGAAGUAGUAAGUAGAUGAUGGGUUUCUAGAGUGACAGAAGCUUAAACCCUAGUUUAUGCUUCGUGAGGGGCUGAUUUGGAUCCACUAGUUUAAUGCUAUGGUUAGACUUUGUCNNNNNNNNNNCCUAGUGGUGUUAUGUCAACGUCGACUACAUAACACUUCACCAUUAUUUGAGUCUAGAGGAAGGCAUUGGGAAGUAGUAAGUAGAUGAUGGGUUGCUACAGUGAUAGAAGCUUAAACCCUAGUUUAUGUGUUGCUUCGUAAGGGCCUGAUUUGGAUCCACUAGUUUAAUGCUAUGGUUAGACUUUGUCUUAAUUCUUCUUUCAUCGUUGCGGAUGCUUGCGAGAGGGGUUAAUCAUAAGUGGGAUGCUUGUCCAAGUAAGGGCAGUACCCAAGCGCUGGUCCAUCCACAUAUCAAACUAUCAAAGUAGCGAACGUGAAUCAUAUGAACAUUAUGAAAACUAGCUUGACAGAAUUUCCCAUGUGUCCUCGGGAGCGCUUUACCUCAUAUAAGACUUUGCCCAGGCUUGUCCCUUGCUACAAUAUGGAUUGGGCCAAUUUGUUGCACCGUUUCUACUUUUGCUACUUGCUACUUGCUACGAAUCAUCUUGCCACACAACUACUUGUUACCAUUAAUUUCAAUGCUUGCAGAUAUCACCUUACUGAAAACCACUUGUCAGAUCCUUCUACUCCUUGUUAGGUUCGACACUCUUACUUAUCGAAAGGACUAUGAUAGAUCCCCUAUACUUGUGGGUCAUCACGGUAAUCAAGGCCUUCUUAAGUAUUUCAAAGUCUUCCUCACAAUCAUCAUAAAAAAAAUGAAUAUCCUUUUGCAAGAGAUUGGUAAGAGGCCUAGAAAUCUUAGAAAAGUCCUUAAUGUACCUUCUAUAGAAACCAGCAUGACCAAGGAAACUUCUUAUACCUUUGAUAUCUGUAGGGCAUGGCAUUUUCUCGAUCGCAUCAACCUAAGCCUUAUCGACUUCAAUACCUCUUUCAGAAAUUUUAUGUCCUAAGACGAUGCCUUCAUUAACCAUAAAGUGGCACUUCUCCCAAUUAAAGACAAGAUUGGUAUCUUUACAUCUCUGCAAAACUCUAUCAAGGUUGCUGAGGCAAUCAUCAAAAGAAGACCCGUAAACGGAGAAGUCAUCCAUGAAAACCUCAACAAUCUCUUCACAAAAGUAAGAGAAUAUAGCCAUCAUAUGUCUUUGAAAGGUAGCAGGUGCAUUACAUAAGCCAAAAGGCAUACGUAUGUAAGCAAAGGUAUCGAAAGGGCAGGUGAAAGUGGUUUUCUCCUCAUCAGUUUGUGCAACAGGUAUUUGGGAGAAACCAAAAUAACCAUCUAGAAAGCAGAAGGGUGUGUGUUUAGAAAAUCUUUCUACAUUUGGUCAAUGAAAGUCAAAGGGUAAUGAUCUUCCCUAGUGGCUUUAUUCAAUUUCCUAAAAUCAAUCACCAUCCUAUAGCUAGUAAUAAUCCUCUGUGGGAUCAAUUCAUCUUUGUCAUUAGGGACAACGGUAAUACCUCCCUUCUUAGGGACGCAAUGCACGAGACUCACCCAAUCACUAUGACCAACAGGAUAGAUAAUACCUGCUUCUAGGAGAUUUAGUAUUUCUUUUCUUACUACCUCUUUCAUCUUAGGAUUUAAUCUCCUUUGAUGAUCAGCAACUGGUUUGGAAUCAGGAUCAACUUUAAUUUUGUGCUGGCAUAGAGUGGGACUAAUGCCCUUAAGAUCGUCAAGAGUAUAUCCAAUAGCAGCACGGUGCUUCCUCAGAGUUUUUAAUAACUUCUUUUCUUCAUGCUCUGAAAGUCUAGCACUAAUUAUAACACGAUAUAUAUAUAUAUAUAUAUUUCAUCGAUAUAAGCAUACUUAAGAGUAUCAGGUAACUGCUUAAGCUCAAACAGAGGAUCAACCUUUGGUGGGGGUGGAUCUCCAAGCAGUUCAACAAGUAAAUUAUUCUUAAGGAUAGGAUGUUGUUCAAAGAUAACUCUAUCUAUCUCAUUCCUUUCAUCCAUAUGCAUAUCAUUUUCAUGCUCAAGCAAGUAUUGCUCNNNNNNNNNNAGCAAUAGAAGCUAGAGCAAUAAUUUCAUAUUUACUAGACAACUCUUUUUCAUGAGGUUGUCUACCAAACUUGGAGAAAUUGAACUCAUGUGACACACCUUCAAAGCCAACGGUAACAGUUUGCUUCUCACAGUCAAUAUGAGCAUUGAUGGUAUUGAGGAAGGGUCUGCCAAAUAUGAUGGGACAAAAGCUAUCUUGGGUGGUAGCAAGAAUGAGGAAAUCCGCAGGAUACUUCGUUUUACCACUCAAGACAUCAACAUCCCUAACAAUUCCCACAGGGCAGAUAGUAUCUCUAUUGGCAAGCUGAAUAGUGACAUCAAUGGGUUCUAUCUUGACAGGUGCAAUCCCGUCUUUGAUUUCAUCAUAUAAGGAUUGAGGUAUUGCACUAACACUAGCACCCACGUCACAUAAACCAUGAUAACANNNNNNNNNNAUCAACUGGCUUGGAAUCAGGAUCAAUUUUAAUCUUGUGCUGGCAUAGAGUGGGACUAAUGCCCUUAAGAUCAUCAAGAAUAUAUCCAAUAGCAGCACAGUGCUUCCUCGGAGUUUUUAGUAACUUCUUUUCUUCAUGCUCUAAGAGGCUAGCACUAAUAAUAACAUGAUAUAUCUCUUUUUCAUCAAGAUAAGCAUACUUAAGAGUAUCAGGCAACUGUUUAAGCUUGAACACAUGGUCACCCUUUGGUGGGGGUGGAUCUCCAAGCAGUUCAACACGCAAAUUAUUCUUAAGAAUAGGAUAUUGUUCUAAGACAACUCUAUCUAUCUCAUGCCUUUCAUCCAUAUGCAUAUCAUUUUCAUGCUCAAGCAAGUAUUGCUCUAAAGGAUCAGUAGGAGGCACGACAAUAGAAGCUAGGGCAAUAGUUUCAUCCUUACUAGGCAACUCUUUUUCAUGAGGUUGUCUACCAAACUUGGAGANNNNNNNNNNNNNNNNNNNNNNNNNNNNNNNNNNNNNNNNNNNNNNNNNNNNNNNNNNNNNNNNNNNNNNNNNNNNNNNNNNNNNNNNNNNNNNNNNNNNCACGCAAUCAAACUUGAAAUUCAUACCCGACUCUUUACCUUCAUCAAACUCUCAAUCUUCAGAGUUGCGUUUAAUUCUUUCCAAUAAAUUCAAUUUGAAGUCAAUAUCUCUCUUCAUAAAAGAACCGGUACAAGAAGUGUCAAGCAUGGUGCGAUCAUCAUGAGAAAGCCGAGCAUAGAAGUUUUGAAUGAUAAUUUCUCUCGAGAGCUCAUGGUUGGGGCAUGCAUAUAACAUUGAUUUAAGCCUCCCCCAAGCUUGAGCGAUGCUUUCUCUGUCACGAGGCCAAAAAUUAUAAAUAUAAUUCCGAUCACGAUGUACUAGAUGCAUAGGAUAAAACUUUUGAUGAAAUUCCAAUUUCAACCGGUUGUAGUUCCAUGAUCCAGUAUCAUCACAUAGCCUAUACCAUGUCNNNNNNNNNNAACGCAAUCAAACUUCAGAUUCAUACCUGACUCCUUACCUUCAUCAAACUCCCAGUCUUCAGAGUUGUGUUUAAUUCUUUCCAAUAAAUUCCAUUUGAAGUCAAUAUCUCUCUUCAUAAAAGAACCGGUACAAGAAGUGUCAAGCAUGGUGCGAUUAUCAUGAGAAAGGCGAGCAUAGAAGUUCUGAAUGAUAAUUUCUCUCGAGAGCUCAUGGUUGGGGCAUGAAUAUAACAUUGAUUUAAGCCUCCCCCAAGCUUGAGCGGUACUUUCUCUAUCACGAGGCCAAAAAUUAUAAAUAUAAUUCCGAUCACGAUGCACCAAAUGCAUAGGAUAAAACUUCUUAUGAAAUUCCAAUUUCAAUCGGUUGUAGUUCCAUGAUCCAGUAUCAUCACAUAGCCUAUACCAUGUCAAUGCCUUAUCCUGCAAAAAUAAGGGAAAUACAUUAUUCUUUACCUCAUCCUCGGGCAAACUUGCAAGCUUAAAUAAACCACAAACUUCAUCUACAUAGAUUAGACGCAAGUCGGGAUGUGAUGUUCCAUCUCGUGUAAAAGGAUUAGCCAACAGUUUCUCUAGCAUACCCGAAGGAAUUUCAUAACAAAUAUUUUCAGUAGGUGCAGCAGGUUGAGGAGCAACUCCUUGUGCUUCCGUUCGAGGUGAAGAUACCCCGAACAAGCUCCUCAAAUGAUUAGUUUCCAUAGUGACAAGUGAGAAUAAAUUUCAGCACACUAUAUAAAUGUUUCCUUACAAAAUUCCACUUACCGAAGACUCUUCACUCCCCGGCAACAGCGCCAGAAAAGAGUCAUGAUCACCCAAAAGUGUAGGGGAUCUAUCAUAGUCCUUUCGAUAUGUAAGAGUGUCGAACCCAACGAGGAGCACAAGGAUCUGGCAAGUGGUUUUCAACAAGGUAUUCUCUGCAAGCACUGAAAUUAUCGGUAACAGAUAGUUGUGUGAUAAGAUCAUUCAUAGCAAGUAGCAAGUAACAAUAGUAAAAAAGGUGCAGCAAGAUGGCCCAAUCCCUUUUGUAUCAAGGGACAAGCCUGGACGAACUCUUAUAGGAGGUGAAGCGCUCCCGAGGACACAUGGGAAUUUUGUCAAGCUAGUUUUCAUCAUGUUCAUAUGAUUCGCGUUCGCUACUUUAAUAGUUUGAUAUGUGGGUGGACCGGUGCUUGGGUGCUGCCCUUACUUGGACAAACAUCCCAAUUAUGAUUAACCCCUCUCGCAAGCAUCCUCAACUACGAAAGAAGAAUUAAGACAAAGUCUAACCAUAGCAUUAAACUAGUGGAUNNNNNNNNNNUACGAAGCAACGCAUAAACUAGGGUUUAAGCUUAUGUCACUCUAGCAACCCAUCAUCUACUUAUUACUUCUCAAUGCCUUCCUCUAGGCCCAAAUAAUGGUGAAGUGUUAUGUAGUCGACGUUUGCGUAACACCACUAGAGUAGAGACAACAUACAACACAUCAAAAUAUCGAACGAAUACCAAAUUCACAUGACUACUUAGAGCAAGACUUAUCACAUGUCCUCAGGAACAAAAGUGGCUACUCACAAAGCAUAAUUAUGUUCAUGAUCAGAGAGGUAUUUAAUAGCAUCAAUGAUGUGAACAGAUAAUAUUCCACCGAGUAAUCCAACUAGCAUCAACUACAAAGAGUAAUUAACACUACUAGCAACCUUACAGGUACCAAUCGGAGUCGCAAGACGGAGAUUGGUCACAAGAGAUGAACUACGGUUUGGACAUGAGUUGGUGUUGAUGAAGAUGUUGAUGGUGAUGAGUCCCCUCCGACGAGAGGAGUGUUGGUGAUGACGAUGGCGACGAUUUCCCCCUCUCGGAGGGAAGUUUCCCCGGCAGGAUGGCCGUGCCGGAGCUUUAGAUUGGUUCUGCUCAAGUUCCGCCUCGUGGCGGCGGCGNNNNNNNNNNGGCCUCCUCCUGAUUUUUUAUGGAACGUAACCCUCCUUAUAACAAAAGAUAGGAGCGAGAGGGGCAACAGGGGGCCCACAAGCCCCCUAGGCGCGGCUAGGGGGGUAGGUCGCGCCUAGCAGGCUUGUGCCCUCCUGGUGGCUCCCCUGUGGUACUUCUUCCGCCAAGUAUUUUUUAUAAAAUACAAAAUAAUUCCUCGUUGAUUUUCACAGCUUUUGGAGUUGUGCAGAAUCGGUAUCUCAAACUUGCUCUUUUCAGACCAAAAUUCCAGCUGCCGGCAUUCUCCCUCUUCAUGUAAACCUUGUAAAAUAAGAGAGAAAAGGCAUAAGUAUUGUACCGUGAAGUGUAAUAACAGCCCAUAAAGCGAUAAAUACCAACAUAAAAGCAUGAUGCAAAAUGGACGUAUCAUGCAUCCCUAACAUUGCGAUUGUAUCCAUGUGGACAACCGGCGGCUUGUCGUGGUGGUUGUUGUUCGUGGUGCUGAACUAGAGCAACCUCUCUCUCAUCAUCAUAAUCCUUAUUGUGCUCAGCCAUAGAAACCUCGGCAGUAGCAGCAGGAGGAGCAGCAGCAAGAGCAGCAACAGCAUUAGUAGCAACAACACCAAAAUUAUGCACUUGUCUAACACACACACGUCACGCUCAUAGCUGUUGUGGUUGUGGUUGAAGAGGGACAGAAGCUGCAGCUGGUGGUGGUAAAUGCGCAAGCACCUCAUCGAACUUGGCGUUCAUCUUGGUGUCAAAUUUCUUCUCCAUACCUUCGAGAUUUCCAAGGCCUCGCCAAUGAUGGUCACGAAAUCCUGUACCUGGUCAGACAUCAUUUGCUGAAAUUUAUCAUGGAGCUCCCGGUUGGUCAGGUUCUCCCAGUCGAUCUCCCCGUCGUGUGAUCCUCGCAUGGUUAGCAGCAAUAGGAACACAGAAGAAUAUGAACCUACAGACUACUAGGAAGUGGUGGUGGUGGUGGUGUGUCACAAAUCCGUCAAGCAAAUCCCAAUUUCUUACCAAUUCUUACCUAGCAGGAGGUGGCGAUCGGCAAUCGGUGUAGUCAAAACUCUCAAAGCUUGGAUAGAGCGAUUGCGAGGUGGUGUCAAACACAUAAUGUGCUCGGAAGGCUUAUAAUAUGGUAGCAAGAAGGGUCAACAAUAAUCAGUUCAGAAAUGCAAAAUUGAAAGACGCUCAACAACGGUACUGUGCUGGUCCUAGGCUAGACCGUACUAGAGACGUGAGCCUAGAACACCAACGAAGUCACGAUGACACGUACUAAUCAAGGGAAGAGCCACUCUGAUUUUCCCCCCUCUUUUUUUGCGCUUUUAUUUUUUUACAAAAUCACUAUAAUGGUGAGUGUCUCAAAACUCUUCCCAAGGACAAAAAACAGGAUAGGCACGAAAAAAAUUGACAAUUUUUUUAAAUUUCUGGAGCAAUUUGGGGCUACGACGACCAAAAAUUGCGACAAAAAUCACUAUGAUGGCGAGUGUCUCAAAACUCUCUAAAAAGCCUAACAAAACGAUAGGGAUUAUUUUUCACCCCUCGAAAUUUUGACUUAAAAGUGCUCGGGAAAGCGUGCCAGACUUUUUUUUUGAUACCUACUCAGGUAAUGAAACGUGAAACCGAAAGCAAAAGGAUCUUGAAAUUAACCUAAGGCAGAAAGGAUUGUGGUGGAUAUAUGGUGGUGGUAUAUGGCAACAAGGAUAAUGGUGGCGUGGUGGUGGUAUAUGGCAGCAGCAAUGAUGGUAACGUGGAGGUGGUAUAUGGCAGCGAUGAAAGUUGGUGCAGUGGCGGCGUGACAACGUGUGAACAGAACUCGAAACUCUAAAGAACUACUCCCUCCGUUCCUAAAUAUAAGUCUUUCUAGAGUUUUAACUAAUGGACUACAUACGGAUGUAUAUAGACAUACUUUAGAGUAUAGAUUCAUUCAUUUUGCUCCGUAUGUAGACACCUAAUGAAAUAUCUUAAAAGACUUAUAUUUAGGUACGGAGGAAGUAGACACUAAGACCAGCAACUCGACACGAUGAUGUAACCGCAGUUUCAACAAAGCAAACUAUUGAAAAGACUAUGCAAAAGCUCACAUUGGUUCGGAUAUGAUGAUCUAACCCUAAUUUUUUUAAUGGCUUUUUCUUGGACUAUAGGUAUGAAGAUAGAUGCGAUUUAACCUGGAAAUCUCACCAACAACCUGGAAAUCUGAUACCACUUGAUAAAGGCGAAGUUGUCCCUAUCUUUCGAUGAGAUCGUGGGUAUCGUUUUGGUGGAGUAGACUUUGACGAUCCAAGUACGAACGUGUGAGGACGUCGCGCCUUAGCAAUCGCUAAACCAACUCCGAGAGGUUAUUGACCACGCCGGAGCACGAUCAACUUGACCACGAAGGUCUGUUUCCUGCACGCAAACGAAGAACAAGCAAGAAACUAAGAUGCAAUCAAGAUAUUACGAAUAUAAGUGGAAAGCUUUAUUGAUGAAGGUGGGGUUCUGUGACGCCUUUGUCUGGUCGUGGAACACAAACGAAGAACGCAAAGUUGCAGCUAUGGUGAACUUGUAAUCUAAACAAAACCCAAGUCUAAACGGUGCCCUAAGGGUUGUAUAUAUGAGGGAACAGAUAGGCAAUUUCGUGACUGAUACGUCUCCAACGUAUCUAUAAUUUUUGAUGGUUUCAUGCUAUUAUCUUGUCAAACUUUGGAUGUUUUGUAUGCCUUUUAUAUAUUUUUUGGGACUAACUUAUUAACCAAGUGCCAAGUGCCAGUUCCUGUUUUUUCCAUGUUUUUGACCCCUUUCAGAGGAGGAUUUUGAACGGAGUCCAAACGGAAUGAAACUGCCAAAACGAUUUUUUUUCGGAACAGAAAAAGAUCGGUGAGCUGGAGAAUCGAGGAAGGGGGCCACCAGGGACCCCACAAGCCCUCACGGCGCGGCCAGGGGGGGAGGCCGCGGUCUCUGGCUUGUGGGCUCCCUGAGGCUCCGUUGCCCUAGGUUUUGCGCCUAUAUAUUCCCAAAAAUUCCAUAAAAAUGAGGAGAUCAUCGAAAGUACUUUUCCGCCGCCGCAAGCUUCUGUCUCCGCAAGAUCCCAUCUGGGGCACGUUCUAGUGCCCUGCCAGAGGGGGGAUUCAGACACGGAGGGCUGCUUCAUCAACACCAUGACCUCUUCGAUGAUGCGUGAGUAGUUCACCAUAGACCUACGGGUCCAUAGCUAGUAGCUAGAUGGCUUCUUCUC
RNAcentral lists this long non-coding RNA (19749 nucleotides) under Hordeum vulgare. RNAcentral describes it as "long non-coding RNA (HVUL_LNC007845)". The record is from RNAcentral. Lineage: Eukaryota; Viridiplantae; Streptophyta; Magnoliopsida; Poales; Poaceae.